GUGCUCCGGCAGCACAUAUACUAAAAUUGGAACGAUACAGAGUAGAUUAACAUGGCCCCUGUGCAAGGAUGACACCCAAAUUUAUGAAGCAUUCCAUAUUUAA
This is a small nuclear RNA of Loxodonta africana (African savanna elephant), 103 nucleotides long. NCBI's taxonomy places the organism in Eukaryota, Metazoa, Chordata, Mammalia, Proboscidea, Elephantidae. The record is from Ensembl.